UACAGAGGUCUCAAGCGUUGUUCGGAAUCACUGGGCGUAAAGCGUGCGUAGGCUGUUUCGUAAGUCGUGUGUGAAAGGCGCGGGCUCAACCCGCGGACGGCACAUGAUACUGCGAGACUAGAGUAAUGGAGGGGGAACCGGAAUUCUCGGUGUAGCAGUGAAAUGCGUAGAUAUCGAGAGGAACACUCGUGGCGAAGGCGGGUUCCUGGGCAUUAACUGACGCUGAGGCACGAAGGCCAGGGGAGCGAAAGGG
Molecule: ribosomal RNA, 253 nt
Filed under: uncultured bacterium
Lineage: Bacteria
Description: partial 16S ribosomal RNA
Rfam family: Bacterial small subunit ribosomal RNA
Source: RNAcentral